RNAcentral lists this unclassified non-coding RNA (520 nucleotides) under uncultured Glomus. RNAcentral's name for it is "SSU rRNA". It matches the Rfam family "Eukaryotic small subunit ribosomal RNA", at positions 569 to 1090 of the family's 1831-position model. Lineage: Eukaryota; Fungi; Glomeromycota; Glomeromycetes; Glomerales; Glomeraceae. The record is from RNAcentral.
AGCAGCCGCGGUAAUUCCAGCUCCAAUAGCGUAUAUUAAAGUUGUUGCAGUUAAAAAGCUCGUAGUUGAAUUUCGGGAUCAAUUAAUCGGUCGUGCCCCUGGUACGCACUGGUUUUAUUGGUUUCUCCCUUCUGACGAACCAGGAUGUCAUUAAUUUGGUGUCUUGGAGAAUCAGGACUGUUACUUUGAAAAAAUUAGAGUGUUUAAAGCAGGCUAACGCUUGAAUACAUUAGCAUGGAAUAAUGAAAUAGGACGUUUGAUCCUAUUUUGUUGGUUUCUAGGAUCGACGUAAUGAUUAAUAGGGAUAGUUGGGGGCAUUAGUAUUCAAUUGUCAGAGGUGAAAUUCUUGGAUUUAUUGAAGACUAACUACUGCGAAAGCAUUUGCCAAGGAUGUUUUCAUUAAUCAAGAACGAAAGUUAGGGGAUCGAAGACGAUCAGAUACCGUCGUAGUCUUAACCAUAAACUAUGCCGACUAGGGAUCGGAUGAUGUUAAUUUUUUAAUGACUCAUUCGGCGCCUUA